Neopelma chrysocephalum (saffron-crested tyrant-manakin) is the source of this 3544-nucleotide long non-coding RNA. RefSeq lists it as uncharacterized. NCBI's taxonomy places the organism in Eukaryota, Metazoa, Chordata, Aves, Passeriformes, Pipridae. The transcript has 7 exons. The record is from RefSeq and is a predicted model, not a curated record.
ACGUGGCGACGGCGGCGGCUACGGGGUCUCCCGCGCGGCGCUUACGGGGCGACGUGAGGCGGCACCGCCGCCAUCUUGGAGCUCGAGUGGCCGCGGGAGAAUGAUGGAAAUCCUUCCUGACUUAAAGCCUCCACAACUUUCUUUUGAAAAGGUAUUGAUAUUCUUAAAAACUGAGGAGUCCAGCUGCAAACAACAGUCAGGAAAAGGGCAUCAGUCCAUUAAAUGAUAAGGUCUAAGGGUAAACUCCCAAGGGAUGCCACUGGUAACUGCUGUCAGAUGGAGUGUGAUUCUUUAACCCCUUGGGCCUGUCAAGGUAGAUUUUCACCCAUUCAGCAGCCUGUCCAUCCACACUAUAACAUUCCAGUUUGGAUACAAGUUUACUGUGGGAGACCAUGCUGAAAGCCCUCCUGAAGUCAAGGCAUGGCUCCUGCAGACUUGCACUGUUAUUGUCCCAGAGGACAAGCAGUGGUUCCAUGGAUCAUCAUUCUUGCCUUUAGCAUUAUGGGCUUUUGGAUAGAUUGAAGUGUGAAAUCAGCCUUUCACUUCACAGUUAAGAGAUUUGACAUAGUCCAUAGUGAUACACUCCCUACAAACUGGGACUAAAAAGUCUGUAAACAGUUAUUGAUCUCCACAUGCUACUGGGGAAAUUUUCCAAGAUCAGUGACAGCUGGGAAAUCACUGGCAUUUUAAAAUUAUAGAUCACUGAUUCACUUUUUUGGCAUUUUCAGUAUUGCAUUAUGGCAAUAAACAUGCUAGAUGUGUAUAAAAAAACCAAAAUGCUUUUAGCAUUUUCGUAUUUUUUUGUUUGAGCAGUAUUACAGAUGAAAAUUUCUUGAUACAAUUCAAAAUAAUGGGUUUGUUUAUUAAAGAUAUAUACCCAUUAAGAUGAAGUUAGGAUGAGGAAAAUGCUUGUUUGUGUGAAAAUAAUAUCUGCUUUUUCAACAACAGCAUCUCUUGAGGUUUCUUUGAUUCAUAUCUGAUUACUUUAAUGACUAAACCAGGUUUUAACUCCCGUUAGCACUGCAGAAUACAGAGAAUUAUGGAAGAGUAAAAAGUAUUUUGCCCUCCCAAGUCAUUGUCAACACAACUCUCAAGUACAUUUCAUUCUGGAAUUAUUUGCAAGGGAGGGGAUUGGUUUCAAGUCAUUGUCCCAGGUAGAGAUUGCAGAAGCCUCUGGUCAGUCACUGAGCUUUCAUUACAAUUUGGGAGGAGUUGGGUGCUUGCCUACAGAAGGGCACAGGUGCGUGAAAGGAAAAGAUGUAUUGACAAAAUCACCUCUUAGCUGGACAAUUAAAAAUGUGAGAGAAACCCAAGCUUGUUCUGUGCUGCCUGGGGCAGGAAGGACUUCAUAUUGUUAACACAGUGAUUCCUCUGGCUGAUGAAGGAUCUGCUCUGACGCAUUCUGAAGGAUGUUGCAUAUGCCUUGGCUGGGAAAAUGAUGUUUUCUUUGUACUGGUCGAGGAUGGAAAAGAAGGGGAAAUGGUGGGAGUGGUGACUCGGGUGAUCUUUAGAGAAAAAAAAUAAUGCAAAUUCGAGUUGAAGAUGAGCUCUCUAUACUUCCAGGUUUGAAAAUAAUUAGCAGUCACAGAAUUCAUAAUCUACUGUCUCAGAUUUUUGCACUGCAAAAAUACACAUUUUAAAAUAGAAUAAAAAAUUGACUAAUGAGAUUAGCUGGCUAAUAAUGUUUUAAUGCAAAAAGUAUGUAAUAGAAAAUAUUGUUCAGUCAGAAUCCGGAAAGAAAGACAGCAAAUAAUAAACUGAUUUGAGCUAAGAACUUUGAAUACAGACUUAAUUGUUCAAGAUACGACUGAUUUUAUUUUAUUUCCAUGACAGCAUCAUUUCAUCCAUAGUCUGUCAUGCCAUGAGGCCUGUAAGAGGCUGUCUUUGAAGGGAUUGUAAUGGCAGGUACAGUUCUGCCAAGCAGAAAUGAUGCCGGAGAUGCUGCAGAAGGUGGAGGCUUUCCUGUGAUGAACCUGGAGGCAAUCUGGAGGGGUUGGGGCUUAUGGAAUAACUGGCAAGGCAGGAAUGUUCCUGCACAAGUGCAGUGCAAAACUGAAAGGCUAAAGGUGAACCAGGACUUCAAGGGCUGACACUUGAAGUCCUAAGCCACCAAGUGCAUUGAACUCAACCAAGGCAAUCUACCUGCAGCCUCUGAGCUCAUUCCUUGGAUUCCUAAAAGGAAUAAACCCAUCAUUGUUCAUCCAUGUGGCUGGCAUUGGCAUAGAUCUACUCCACUCCUAUCUGAGCACUCAUAGGACUUGUAUAUAAUAGGAGCAAAAGAGAGUUCCUUGCCACUUAGUGUGAGAAAAAAAUGCUGGGGAAGACAAGUGCAUAUUAGGAAGUGCUCGCUGGCAAGCAAACACUCCUCAGCUCUGCCUGGCUUAGAGGGGCAGUGGAAGAGCAAGGGUGUGUGUCUGAGAAAGCUCUGCACGUUGGCAAUCCCCUGCUUUUACAAGCCCAGAAGAGCUUGUGGAAGAGUGGAAAAGCAAAGUAGCAUUCCAAAUCCUGGAGUCACGGGUUGUUCACCUCCUGUACAGCACGGCUGUCAUUUACAGGCUGGGUUCCUUCAGGCUGAUGGUUUCUCGGUGUAAUUACACAAUAUUGAUGCACAUCUGUGAGGACAAACCGUUAGGAACAAACAGUUCAAAAUAUCUAUAAAAUGUAAAAUUAAAAAAAAAUAUUUUCAGGUGUGAAAUGAGAUGAUGCUUUGCCUGCAUGGGCAAAAAUUGAUCCAAGUUUUGUGAUGAUGGUGUCUCUGGUUUCAUAUCAGUUAUCUCAGCAUAACUUUUAGAUUAUUUCUGAAAUCAUGCACAGAACGAGGGGAGAUACAGUUUGACCUCUUCAGACUUGCUGCAUUUUAAUUUUUCCUAUGCUUAGAAAUAACACAGAAAAAAAACCCCAAGAGGUAAUAUUAUUUUUAUAUAAAUCUCUGUAGUUAUACUAGGCAUGUUCAGAAUACAUUAAAGAUACUGUCCUGACACAGAAAAAUUACAAUGUGCUUUUAGAUAUUACAUAACUAAUGAGAGCAAUAAAUGCUGGGAGAACGAGUGGAUCAAGGUUACAAUAAUAAGAUUAUAGCAUUCCUCCACUAUGUGUGCAUGGUUGAAAAUUCACCUCAAUUUUGCUACCUCAGUCUGGGCUUUGGUUUUUCAUUUUGGCUUUUUCUUGCUUUAUCAGAUCUAAUUUUCUGUCUGAGUCCACCAGACCAUAACAUCCUGGCUAAAAACUCUGACCAGACUUUUGAUUUUCUCUCUCUCUUUUUUCUUCUUCGUCUUUUUAGUUUUCUUAUUUUUAAUUUAGAAUGUACCUGCUCUGCUUGCAUGACCACCAUCGAUGGCCUGUCUGUUGCAGAACCAUUGUCAUGGUCUUUUCUCUGACUGGAGUCACAGCUGAAGCACCAAUAGAAUAUACACUUGAAUGCUUGCACGACUUUUUUCUGCACAGGGAAAGUGAUACCAAAAAAAAGUAAUUAUAUGAUUUCUACACAAUUACACCUGGAUUUUUAAAUCCCCACUUUGGAGACCCACACCAUACACCGUGUGUG